UUCAAGCAAAACACAUCAAAAAUAAUUUCUAUUUAACUUUUAGAGAAAAGUGGAAACGCAAUUCUGUUCUUUAGAUAUCUACAAGUAAAAUUUAAAACAAAACUUUACAUUUAAAUAAAGCAAAACAAAGAAAUUAGGAUCCCAACAAGCUACAUACUCGAAAUCAGCCUGCUUAAAAUAAUAGAGUAUAUCCACCAUCAUUCCGGAUUCGUUUACUAAUUUUUUUGGACAUACAGCAUGGAUCGCAAGUCAUACUGCUCAGUUGAAGAAACCCUACAAGUUCCCAGCUCAGAAUGCAAGGAAAAUUACUUCUGGAUAUUGGGAAAUUAAGGGAACGUUCACAUAAAUGCUUUAACGUGAAAAUCUAGUAGUUACACUCGCGCAAAACGACAAAAAAUUAAUAAAUUUCUUGAUCGUCGCAUUGUAACUACAGUGGAACUUCUUUAACUCGAAUCACCAUAAUCCACAAAAAAAAAUCGAGUUAGAGAGACUUCGAGUUAUAGAAAUGUUCAUUAAAACAUACAUUUUUCAAAAAGCUGUAAAAUAUAGAUUUACCCAUAGUUUCAGUUAUUUACUUCGCAACAAGUUAUAUUUAAAUACAUUAAAACAUGUAUGUUGUCGUAAAGCUGUUUUGUAAAGCUGUGAAUUAUUCAAUAGAGUUGAAUUCAUUGGUUGCCUGGCAUAUGCCACUACACCAUUUAAAAUUGAAGGCGCGAUUUCACAUCGAAACUUGCCAUUUAAAAAAGUGUCUCCAAUGGGUUCCAAUUACGAAGCAAAAUAAACUUAUCGUCUGGUUAUGAAAAAAUGCAUUGCUUACACGAAUGCCUUUGAUUCCUAAAGUUAUAACAAUUAAAUUUAAACAAUAAGUCCCAAGUCCAAACAUUGUCUUAUAGAGGAGAUUCUUCAGAUUAAGAAUAUAUGUAUAUAAUUAUAGUCACCGGAGGAUGGAGUCUUAUGUAGAAGAUCACGCAUUUAUCUAUCCUUUACUCAUGAGAGCCUCCGGACCCAGACCGCCAAAGUAAUCGGAAUCGUGCCAAAUAACAUGUUUAAUUUUUCCAAAUAUUAUAGUUUAAAUGCAAAUAUUUAAAAAAAAUAUAAGUGCGGUAUAAAUAUCUAUACAUAUUAUUCUAUCUCUAACAUAUCCAAUAAAACGCAAUUGGUGCAAUAAAUAUUUUACUUGAAAUGUAACUAACGGUGAUUUAUCCUUUUUCUAUUAGUUAGUUCUCUGUUUUAACAAUAAUAUACAAAUUCUAAAAAUAAUUAGCCCGCAUUUAUGAAAUUAGAUUCAAAAAUAAAUAUUAUAACUUAAAGUUAUAUCUAUCUAUAAUAUAAAAAUGAAUCGCAAAAUGUGUUGCUAAGCGCAUAACUCGAGAACCGCUGGACCGAUUUCGCAAAUUCUUUGUUUAGAAUGUUUUUAGAGAUUCCGGGAUGGUUCUUACGGAGAGAAAAAUUAGAAAAAUUGCUUGAAAAAGUCUUAAAUCCACAAUUUUCUAAUCACCCAUACAAACAAUUUGUGUCGUUAGUCUCGCAAAAAGUUGAGAAGGGCCAAACCGUUUAGUUUUGAAAUAUUUAUGGAAAGCCAAGGAAAGAUUAGAAAGUAAGUAAAUAUGGAAAAAUUGUGAGGAAGAUAACAAGAAGAUGGUUUUAUUUGAAUUGACAACAAAUUUAUAAAAAAGAAAACAAAAAAUAAUAUUAUUUUCAAAGUUGUCAUUGUUGCUUUGUUAAAAUAUUUUUAUCAUUAUUCAAUUGUAUAAUGCUGUAUCGAAAGCCCAAAACAAUUUGUAACAAGUAGGGAAAGGCAACCAAACAUUUUAUACUCGCAAUUUAUUGAUUUAAUUUUAUUACACACAAUUUGAAAUAAAGUCCAACAGAAUAACGAAAAUCCUCUUAUAUAGUAUAUAACGGCUGAUGUAAUUCCUGAACCUAUUUCACACAUUUUCACCACUAAGGUUAACGGGAAUAGGGGUAACUUGGCACCUGUUAGUAGGCAGUACUUUCGGCCUUGAAAUUACUACUAAAUUGCAAAUCAACAAACACCAGUCUGCAAACUCGCCAAAAAGAGCUACAAAGGAGAUUUUCCAGUUAUUCAAGUCGCUGGAAGAACUGCACAGGACUUUAAAAGAUUUACGCGACAACGAAAAUAUUUUUGGUGAAGCCAUGAUUCUGGCAGGUGAUUUUCGCCAGACUAUUCCAGUUAUUCCUGGAUCAACUGUUGCGGACGAACUAAUCACAUGCCUAAAAUCAUCUACUUUGUGGCGACACAUAAAAAAUCGUCAAUGAACAAAUAACAUACGAGUGUUUUUCCAACAAUAUCAUACUGCGAAUGUAGAAAUAGUUGGAAAUGGUAGCGACGCAGUUGACACCUCAAUGUAUUAUUAACAUUUUUAACGGGCUUCUGUCACUUCAUGGUCUCGAAAGAGGAGCUUAUUCAUCGUGUUUUUCCGGACAUGAAACCACAUAACCAUAAAUGACUGAUUGAAUGGCCUAUUUUGGUGAUAAAAAAACAAAGAUAUCGAUGAUCUUAAUGCGACAAUUUAGGAUUUCGUUCCAGGAGAGUUGACACAGCUACAAACCCGGGUGACGUAGUGUAUUAUCCCACAGAAUAUUUAAAAUUGCAUUGACUAUACCCUCUCACUUUGCAAUUAAAAUUAGUGUAAGCUGUCAUGGCUAUGAAAACGGUAAUCAUAAAUAAGUCACCGAAACAAUCUUGGCUUGGCCAACUUGCAAAUUUGUUAUUAUGAUGAUUUACGCUUAGUACAGAUCUACCAUAAUGUAUAUCAACCGGCUAUAAUGUUUUCGUCUUCGCGCGUAAGAAUUUUUUGACUAUAUUGAAAAAAUUCUAAUUUAAUGUAUACCUUAGCCACAAAAACGUGUGGUCGGGUCUGCUAGUCAUAUAUAAAAGUAAUUUAUUACUAAUUUAAUACUUCGAUUAUUCAAAAUGUACACUGCGAAGGUUGUUAAAGAGCGCGGCUUUAUCUUUAUUAUCAGCGGCCUUAUUUAACCACAAAUCAUUAACAUGGAACAUGUGACAACUCAUUUUUUUAAAUCACGUUGAAAUAAAUUUAAUGAUAACAAAUUGUUAGCACCAUAGCCAGAAAGCAACAAGUAUUGAACCGUAAAUAGGAAAUAUUCAGUGGUAAUUAUGUCCUAAAUAUAACUUACCAUGUUUCGAGAUUACUAAAUUUCUUUGUGACCACCUUUCCCAAAUCGAUACCCAAACGAUCAACAAUCCUUUGGGCCAAAUCCGGGUGAGAUGUGCCGGAAAACACUUUUAUAUUAGGCAUUCUGGAAUGCAAUGUGUUAUUGAAACAAAAUGUCUCCUUUUGAUCCAAACUGGCACAAUUGGAACUACUAACACGCGUUGAAUUAAGACAACGAACCAGAAUCACACUCCACAAGUCAA
Molecule: long non-coding RNA, 3403 nt
Organism: Zeugodacus cucurbitae (melon fly)
Lineage: Eukaryota; Metazoa; Arthropoda; Insecta; Diptera; Tephritidae
Exons: 3
Source: RefSeq, a predicted model, not a curated record